UGGACAUAGGGAAAGGUGUCUUUGAUGUCC
Molecule: non-coding RNA, 30 nt
Filed under: Mus musculus (house mouse)
Lineage: Eukaryota; Metazoa; Chordata; Mammalia; Rodentia; Muridae
Source: RNAcentral